GAGGGUAUAACUUGGUGGUAAAGUGCGUGCUUAGCAUGCAUGAGGUCCUGGGUUCAAUUCCCAGUACCUCCA
Molecule: transfer RNA, 72 nt
Filed under: Camelus bactrianus (Bactrian camel)
Lineage: Eukaryota; Metazoa; Chordata; Mammalia; Artiodactyla; Camelidae
Also listed under: 1 other name
Rfam family: tRNA
About the family: Transfer RNA (tRNA) molecules are approximately 80 nucleotides in length. Their secondary structure includes four short double-helical elements and three loops (D, anti-codon, and T loops). Further hydrogen bonds mediate the characteristic L-shaped molecular structure. tRNAs have two regions of fundamental functional importance: the anti-codon, which is responsible for specific mRNA codon recognition, and the 3' end, to which the tRNAs corresponding amino acid is attached (by aminoacyl-tRNA synthetases). tRNAs cope with the degeneracy of the genetic code in two manners: having more than one tRNA (with a specific anti-codon) for a particular amino acid; and 'wobble' base-pairing, i.e. permitting non-standard base-pairing at the 3rd anti-codon position.
Source: Rfam by way of RNAcentral